GUAGCUUUUGGUGUAAGGACAAAAUAUGAAGAAGCGACAGAUGCCGAAAUAAUACAGUGUUACCCAUACGGAUAUGGUUGGAUGACUUCAGAUGGUGGACGGAAUACAAAGAAUGCCAGCAGCCAACGACAAUUUCCGUUUCAAUUAUCUGCAGAUCCUGAUGACGAAGAUAAAGGUUUCAUUGAUACAUAUUUUAAUGUAUGUAGUUAAUGGAAAAUGAAUAAAUUCUUUUAACUGA
Molecule: long non-coding RNA, 238 nt
Organism: Coccinella septempunctata (seven-spotted ladybird)
Lineage: Eukaryota; Metazoa; Arthropoda; Insecta; Coleoptera; Coccinellidae
Exons: 2
Source: RefSeq, a predicted model, not a curated record